This 51-nucleotide non-coding RNA is filed under the name Trypanosoma brucei brucei. Lineage: Eukaryota; Euglenozoa; Kinetoplastea; Trypanosomatida; Trypanosomatidae. The record is from RNAcentral.
AUAUAUAAAACAUAUCUUAUUCUGUCUGAUUUAUAGUGCGAUGAAUUUAGU